GUAGGUUAUCACCACCCAUCCUUAUAUGGAUGCCGACCUCACUAUGUUUGGGCUGUCAGUGUUGUUCUGUGAAUAGGUUGCCUUCCUCAUUCUGCCUAGACUCUGACACUAUAUGCCAGCGCACCAACCCUUUGCCCUUUUCCUGAGCCCACAUCUGCAUGGAGUCAUCCAUUCAUCAUUGGGACAGAGGUCACUGUUCCAGUCAGGCAACAUAGCAUCUUGCCUGGGGUUUGCAGAGAAAAGCCAGACCAGGAGGAGCAGAGUCAGCAGGACUCAACUACCAACCAUGACAGGGGAAGUGAGCAGCUUCCCCCACAGCUGUGCGUCUCGUGUUGUCUCUGUAAACCUCAAAGUUGGCAUUGGGAAAGCUUUCUUUAAGAUGACAGACUGCUCUUUUCCUUUGUCUCGCCUGUGUUUCCUGGCCCAUGUCUGCAUCAGUUUUGCCCUCAGUUUGAGGUGGUGGCGGCAUGACCCUGCCAUACAGUGGAACCACUCAGUCACCACCAAACUGUCACUCAGUUCCUGGCAGAAAAGACUUCACACCCAUAAUCCUGUAAUCUUUUCCUCCAACAAGGACUCCAUUUCACUUGAAGAGGUUGAAAUGAAUAGCUUUUGUCAUUUGGAAUUUGAGCACAUCUGGAUGAAUUUUUAGUUUAAAAAAAAAUCAGGCCAUAAAAAAAGUCAACAAUAUUCCUGUUUUGAGGACAAAUGUGAUUUAAUUAUAUCAAACAUAUGUUAGAAAGCUUGGCUCACUCUUAUUUUUCCAUCCUGCUGAAGGUGACAAAGAUAGCUGAGCUACUUCGUACUCUGCUUCAUGCUGAUCAGAUAAGGCAGGUGAUACAGACUCAGGGCUAGUUCUGGCUG
Molecule: long non-coding RNA, 864 nt
Organism: Bos taurus (domestic cattle)
Lineage: Eukaryota; Metazoa; Chordata; Mammalia; Artiodactyla; Bovidae
Source: Ensembl